RNAcentral lists this long non-coding RNA (1460 nucleotides) under Ananas comosus (pineapple). Its description in RNAcentral is "long non-coding RNA (ACOM_LNC018347)". Lineage: Eukaryota; Viridiplantae; Streptophyta; Magnoliopsida; Poales; Bromeliaceae. The record is from RNAcentral.
UUUGGCGUUAUGUGGGCCAUUAUUAUUAUUAUUAUUAUUAUUAUUAUUAAGACUAUUUUAUUAUUAUUAUUAUUAUUAUUAUUAUUAUUAUUAGGAAAAAUUUCAAAAACUCCUAUCUGGUUUCGUAGUUUCUUACUUUGUCCUCCUGUGGUUUAAAAUGUAUCAAUUUAUUCUCUUGUAAUUUUUUUUUCUCUUUUUCUUAUCAAUUUUAUUAUUUUUUUCUUAAAUCAGUUAUAAAGUUAAAAUUAAAGAAUACUAAUGUGAAUAUUUGAUAAAUCUAGAUGGAUAUCUAAAAUUUUUUGUAUAUAAUUUAAUGAAAUAUUAACGAAAAAGCUAUCGAAAAGAUAAAAACCAAACCACAGGAGGACAAAUUGAAAUAUUUUAAACCAUAAAGAGCCAAAGUGAGAAACUACGAAACCACAAAAAGGUUUUUAAAGUUUUCCCUUAUUAUUAUUAUUAUUAUUAUUAUUAUUAUUAAGGCUAUUUUAUUAUUAUUAUUAUUAUUAUUAUUAUUAUUAUUAUUAAUAAGGCUUUUUUUUUAUAUUCCUUUCUUUGGUAGAGUGGGAAAGUAUUGGGUACUGUGGGGGCGAAAUUGAGGACAUGCCAACGCAGUUCAACAGCUGUUAAUAAAAGAAAAAAAAAAUUUGUUGGAUUGCCAUUCAACUAUAUCAAUCAGUAGUUAGGGGUCUUUCCCUUUGAUGUAAUUAAAAAUACAAUUAAUUUCAUACUGGUCCCUGCAACAUAAUAAAUUAUAAAUAUAUUUUUAUAAAGUUCAAUUUUCAUAUAUUGUUUCUAUAAAAAUUUUAAUAUUUUUUAAAUAUGUCUUUCUGAUUUGUUACCGUUAAAUCACUGUUUAUUUUAUAAAUAAAAUGACCUUUUUGACAUCACUCUAAAAGUUCUAACGGUAAAUUAAAGAGGGAUAAAAAUGUUGAUUCAUCUUAUUAACUAACUCGGGUUAAGUAUUUUAUCUAUGGUUAACUAAUUUUUUCUAACGAAUCAUAGCGGCAUGAACAUAUUUGAAAAUAUCACGACUUUUAUAGUGACAAUAUAUGAAAGUUAAACUUUAUAAAGAUAUAUUUAUAAUUCACUAUAUUUAUAGAGACCUGUAUGAAAUUAAUCCUUAAUAAAAAAUAUAAUAUAAUUAUAGUUAUAUAUAUCUCGCUUGGAUGGAUACAGUAUGAAGUAUUGUAAUAAUUAUAAAUAAUUUAUUUGGUGCAUUCAAUUAAAAUGUGCCUUUGUAAAAUUUUAUCGCUUUACAUAUAUAUCAUAGUGAAAUUAUGUCCAAUAUAAGAUAGAAUUAUUUAAAAAGCAAUUCAAGAGUUAGCGGUUAGAUUCAAACACAUCGAACCGAAUGUCGAAUUUGAAUUUGCAUAUAUAGAUGCAACAAAAUAGCCUUUUAAGUCGGUCGAACUACUGAUGUCAGUAUAAUAUCAUAAAUAAUUCUGGGCAUUUCGGGAUAA